Triticum urartu is the source of this 115-nucleotide non-coding RNA. Lineage: Eukaryota; Viridiplantae; Streptophyta; Magnoliopsida; Poales; Poaceae. The record is from Rfam.
UAAUUACUCCUUCCGUUCCGAAUUAUUUGUCGCAGGUAUGGAUGUGUUUAGAUGUAUUUUAGUUCUAAAUACAUCCAUUUCUAAGACGAGUAAUUUGGAACGGAUGGAGUAGUAA